ACUACGGGUGGCAGCAGUGAGGAAUAUUGGUCAAUGGGCGGGAGCCUGACCCAGCCACGUCGCGUGAGGGAUGACGGCCUUAUGGGUUGUAAACCUCUUUUGCCGGGGAGCAAAGUGGCGCACGUGUGCGGUUUGGAGAGUACCCGAAGAAAAAGCAUCGGCUAACUCCGUGCCAGCAGACGCGGUAAUACGGAGGAGGAGAUCGUUAUCAGGAUUUAUUGGGUUUAAGGGGUGCGCAGGCGGACGCUUAAGGCAGCGGGAAAAUGGCGUGGCUAAACCUAGUCCAGCCGUGGAAACUGGAGACCUUGAGUGCGGGAGAGGAACGCGGAAGGCGUGGUGUAGCGGUGAAAUGCGUAGAUAUAACGAAGAACUCCGGUGGCGAAGGCAGCUUACCGGCGCCCAACUGACGCUGAGGCACGAAAGCGUGGGUAUCGAACAGGAUUAGAUACCCUUGUAGUC
RNAcentral lists this ribosomal RNA (459 nucleotides) under uncultured bacterium. RNAcentral's name for it is "partial 16S ribosomal RNA". It matches the Rfam family "Bacterial small subunit ribosomal RNA", at positions 338 to 795 of the family's 1533-position model. The record is from RNAcentral.